This 491-nucleotide ribosomal RNA is filed under the name uncultured bacterium. RNAcentral's name for it is "partial 16S ribosomal RNA". It matches the Rfam family "Bacterial small subunit ribosomal RNA", at positions 29 to 507 of the family's 1533-position model. The record is from RNAcentral.
GUGCACGCUGGCGGUAGGCCUAACCCAUGCCGGUCGAACGGCAGCACAGUAAGAGCUUGCUCUUACGGGUGGCGAGUGGCGGACGGGUGAGGAAUACAUCGGAAUCUACUUUUUCGUGGGGGAUAACGUAGGGAAACUUACGCUAAUACCGCAUACGACCUACGGGUGAAAGCAGGGGAUCUUCGGACCUUGCGCGAUUGAAUGAGCCGAUGUCGGAUUAGCUAGUUGGCGGGGUAAAGGCCCACCAAGGCGACGAUCCGUAGCUGGUCUGAGAGGAUGAUCAGCCACACUGGAACUGAGACACGGUCCAGACUCCUACGGGAGGCAGCAGUGGGGAAUAUUGGACAAUGGGCGCAAGCCUGAUCCAGCCAUACCGCGUGGGUGAAGAAGGCCUUCGGGUUGUAAAGCCCUUUUGUUGGGAAAGAAAAGCAGCAGGUUAAUACCCCGCUGUUCUGACGGUACCCAAAGAAUAAGCACCGGCUAACUUCGUG